GUUGAUACCAGUGAAUAUUAACUAUCAGAAGACACAGCCAUCGAUGCAACCCACGACUGCUUCGCUUGGGCCAGGGCUAAGGCUUCUGCUUGAGCCUGCGCUUGCCUCUGCUGCUCAAGAAACCUGUUCAUGCGAUCGAGCAACUGUGUCGCUUUCCUCUUUCCCCUGUCGGUGCCAUUCUGCGCCAGUUCCUGCAACAGACUCAUGACUCCACACUCCUGAGCCGCAGCCAUAUGGAGGAGCUGCUGCUCACCUCCACAGAGAUGCACCAGAACGGCCGUUGCAUUCUCUCUAUUCCGAGGCGAACCGUUCCGGAUGACUUCCACAAGCACAGGCACUGCCUUGGCCGACCCUAUCGCCGC
RNAcentral lists this unclassified non-coding RNA (362 nucleotides) under Hevea brasiliensis (rubber tree). Lineage: Eukaryota; Viridiplantae; Streptophyta; Magnoliopsida; Malpighiales; Euphorbiaceae. The record is from RNAcentral.